RNAcentral lists this ribosomal RNA (488 nucleotides) under uncultured bacterium. RNAcentral describes it as "bacterial SSU rRNA". It matches the Rfam family "Bacterial small subunit ribosomal RNA", at positions 28 to 524 of the family's 1533-position model. The record is from RNAcentral.
AAUGAACGUUGGCGGCGUGGAUUAGGCAUGCAAGUCGUGCGGCAGCAGGUCCUUCGGGAUGCUGGCGAGCGGCGAAAGGGAGAGUAACGCGUGGGUGACCUACCCUUGGGUCUGGGAUAGCGACGGGAAACUGUCGGUAAUACCGGAUAACGUCUCCGGACCAAAGGUGUGAUUCCGCCUGGGGAUGGGCCCGCGUCCUAUUAGCUUGUUGGUGAGGUAACGGCUCACCAAGGCCGCGAUGGGUACCGGGUGUGAGAGCAUGGCCCGGCUCACUGGGACUGAGACACUGCCCAGACACCUACGGGUGGCUGCAGUCGAGAAUCUUCGGCAAUGGGCGCAAGCCUGACCGAGCGACGCCGCGUGCGGGAUGAAGGCCCUCGGGUUGUAAACCGCUGUCGGAGGGGAGGAAUACAAUCAGGUCAUCCUGGUUUGUUUGACCUAUCCUCAAAGGAAGUACGGGCUAAGUUCGUGCCAGCAACCGCGGUAAU